ACGAACGCUGGCGGCGUGCCUCAUCCAUGCAAGUUGAGCGCUGAAGGUUGGUACUUGUACCGACUGGAUGAGCAGCGAACGGGUGAGUAACGCGUGGGGAAUCUGCCUUUGAGCGGGGGACAACAUUUGGAAACGAAUGCUAAUACCGCAUAAAAACUUUAAACACAAGUUUUAAGUUUGAAAGAUGCAAUUGCAUCACUCAAAGAUGAUCCCGCGUUGUAUUAGCUAGUUGGUGAGGUAAAGGCUCACCAAGGCGAUGAUACAUAGCCGACCUGAGAGGGUGAUCGGCCACAGUGGGACUGAGACACGGCCCAAACUCCUACGGGAGGCAGCAGUAGGGAAUCUUCGGCAAUGGACGAAAGUCUGACCGAGCAACGCCGCGUGAGUGAAGAAGGUUUUCGGAUCGUAAAACUCUGUUGGUAGAGAAGAACGUUGGUGAGAGUGGAAAGCUCAUCAAGUGACGGUAACUACCCAGAAAGGGACGGCUAACUACGUG
Molecule: ribosomal RNA, 496 nt
Filed under: uncultured bacterium
Lineage: Bacteria
Description: partial 16S ribosomal RNA
Rfam family: Bacterial small subunit ribosomal RNA
Source: RNAcentral